This 112-nucleotide transfer RNA is filed under the name Candidatus Bathyarchaeota archaeon. RNAcentral's name for it is "tRNA-OTHER". It matches the Rfam family "tRNA". From Rfam's summary of the family: Transfer RNA (tRNA) molecules are approximately 80 nucleotides in length. Their secondary structure includes four short double-helical elements and three loops (D, anti-codon, and T loops). The record is from RNAcentral. RNAcentral also lists the same sequence under 1 other name. Lineage: Archaea; Thermoproteati; Candidatus Bathyarchaeota.
GCGGGGGUACCAGAGCCAGGUCUAAUGGGCAGAAGGCGUGAUCAUAGCCUGCCCUGGGCUUAGGACCCUGUGGCGAAGGCCUUCGUGGGUUCGAAUCCCACCCCCCGCACCA